RNAcentral lists this ribosomal RNA (474 nucleotides) under Triticum aestivum (bread wheat). Its description in RNAcentral is "partial small subunit ribosomal RNA". The record is from RNAcentral. Lineage: Eukaryota; Viridiplantae; Streptophyta; Magnoliopsida; Poales; Poaceae.
AUGAACCGGAUGAUCCUCCAGCUCCACCAUAUUCAAGUGGAAGUGAACCCGUUUAUUUAUUUUGAUAAGAAAUAUCUUUGCCAUAUAAUUUGUGUUAUCGGGUGUGUUAUUUUAUAUAUAUUAUUGCUUGGUGUCCAUCCUUGUAUAUAUGAUGUGCACGUGGACACCGGGACAUUUUUGUUCUGGAUCCGCCCCUGCUCGCGUGGCUGCCCUGGUGGUUGGCGGCGUCAGAUCUGGCUGCUGGCCAUCUUCCCCUGCUCGGUGCAUUUCACCCUCGACGGUCCCUGGCUGUGCAGGCGUCUGGCCUGCCUCUGGGUUGCGGGUGAUUCUGGUGGUCGGGAUCCAGAUUGGGGGAAACCCCUGGUCGGCUCCAGCCGGCCGCGACGACGACGACGUCCGCGGGCGCCGAUUUCUUCAUGGAGAUGUCGGUCGAGGUCUGCCCUUCCACAUCCCACCACCUUGCUUCUCGGGUGA